AAUCCCAAGUCAAAGAAUGUCGAAAUUCAUUUGCUUCCUCGCAAUUCUGUGCGUUGCUUUGUUUGAAGUUGCAUUAGCCGCAGGCAGAUGUCCAAUCGACACAUCGCUGAAAAUCGAGCAAGCCCAAACGGGGCGGUCGAUAAAGUCAAAACCCGAGUGGAAAGUGAAGAUCAGCAACAACUGCGCAUGCACGUUGAGUAGCUUGAAAUUCUUGUGCCCUAAAUUUCUGGCCACAGUGGAGGUCAACCCCCCCAUCGUUUCGAUUGACGCAGAUGCUCACUGUCUCGUCACUACAGUGAAUCCUCUCGCUCC
Molecule: long non-coding RNA, 312 nt
Filed under: Salvia miltiorrhiza (redroot sage)
Lineage: Eukaryota; Viridiplantae; Streptophyta; Magnoliopsida; Lamiales; Lamiaceae
Description: long non-coding RNA (SMIL_LNC004405)
Source: RNAcentral